This is a long non-coding RNA of Triticum aestivum (bread wheat), 339 nucleotides long. RefSeq lists it as uncharacterized. The transcript has 2 exons. The record is from RefSeq and is a predicted model, not a curated record. NCBI's taxonomy places the organism in Eukaryota, Viridiplantae, Streptophyta, Magnoliopsida, Poales, Poaceae.
CGGCCGAAGGAGAUGCAGCCUGCGUGGGACGAGGUUGGACGCAGUGAACCGGCCCGGCGAAAUGACCCACGGGGGCACCAAGCACGGCGAGGACCAGCCUCCUCCUCUUUCUCUUUGACCUCAAUCAAUGACGCUCUCUACCAUACACCGUGGCCUUUGGCAUUGGCUGGCUUCGUGGAACAUUUUUCACUGGAAAACAUCCAAAUCCAAUGUCGAGAAGCUUGGCGUUGACAAGAUCUGAAGCUCUGCACCAGACUCUCAAGCACUAAAGCAGAACGCAACCACCUUGGCCAUUCCUCCGGUGUGCAUGAUUUGACGCUCUCUACCCUACAUGUACAU